CGGUGAUCAUGGUUGGCCGGGGAUUGGACAGGUUUAUCUUUUCCCUCUGCAGUAUCAAAUAGUGUUUAAUCUUCAAAAGAAUAUAUUAUUAUUAUUAAAAGAAUGAACGAAUAUUAAAUUCAGAAGAUGUAAAUCUCAUUGCUUCCUCUGUUUUGGCCAGGUGAUGAGAGCGGUGAUCAUGGUUGGGUUUGCAACACUAGUUUUCUUCACCAGACAAAGGAAACCAGGUACCAUGUCUCUAAUUGUUUAUAGAUUAUUCAUUGUAUCUUGUAAUACAGACAGAAAUGUAGACUGAUAAAAAUUAAGUAUUGAUGAUGUUUCAGAUAACUAAGCUGAUGGAACUAUCCAUUUCCAUUGUCAUCCAGAAAGCAAGGGAACUAUUUAAUUUGUACCCACCAAUUGUUUUAUUGUUAAACGCAUUCUCUUUCGCUGAAUAUACAGAGGCGUGAUUUGAGUCAAUGAGGCCAUUGUACACUCAUUCAAUUGAAAUUUCUCUCGAUUUCACUUUCCUGCUAAUAAAGUCACAAAUAGAUAAGCUCAAAUUCAACCAUUUGUUCAACAUGCUUUAGGAAAAUAGUGGAUGAAUCAAGGGACUCUGGCAAAAGCUAGUUUUUCAAGCCGACAGUCUGGAAUUUUCAGAGAAAAACAGAUUGGUGGGGUAGGGGAUUUUGGGGAAGUAAGCCAAUUCAUAGCAACAUGCAAAGGCAAGGCGAAAAGCUUCGUGUCAAACUUGGCUCUGGAGAAAGGACAAUAAAACGAGAAAUGGAUGCAGAAGAAACACAUGCAGACUGAUGAUCUAGCCCAGUCAGGUGAAAAAUCAUUGCAUUUAGCCGUAAGCAUAGAAGUAAACGAGACAAAAUUUGGCUGAUACAACAACAGUGACUAUACUGGCACGUUCACAAGCAAGCAGAUAUUUAUAUUUUUCAGAACAGAAGCCAUAUGUGCUACUUUAGUAAAUAAAUUGAACUUCAAUCAUGCAACUAGCAUGCCUAUUGCUGUCAUACUGGCUCAUUGUAUUGUAUGUAAACAGCAUGUUAGCCACCUCUAUGAAUUAACAGGCUUUCCAUUUAACUUGGGAAAGGGAUCUUGCUUGCUUAACACUGCGACUUUGCUUUUAUGUGCAAAGUAUCCUUUAACAAGGUUCUUGUUUAUUAAUAUGGCCACAAUACAUUCCACCUCAUCCAAAUCCAUGUCCAUCUCAAGCCACUUUAACGCUUUAAUAAUUAUUUCCAACUUCAUCUGGUGAGCUUUGCUCGGGUCCUUCUGCUUUUGGAUGAUGUAAAUUUUUUUCAGCAAUCUUUGAUAAACCUGGAGCUCUAGCUUCUCCAGAACAAGAAACACACCUGACCUUAGAAACCGGUCUUCAUGCUCCUGGAGGGCAUGUCGAAGAAGUCGAAGAUCACCCCUUUUUAGAGCUUGAACAACAUUUCUGUACUCAACUAGGUUAUACUUUUCCAGGAGCCAAUCUUUAGGCAAGAUACCUAUUGAAAGCUUCACAGGUAUCAAAUAUUUUAGAAUCAUCCUGAACAACCAAAGAUUUUUUUAAAAAAGAGGUGGGCUAGGAAUUGCAACAUUAUUAAAUGACACGGAAUCAAAUGAAAGAAGGUUCAAAAUGAGUAAGCAUGCCACAUUAAAACCAGAGUUAACAAAAUAUAGUUCCAAUUUGCCUCAUCUUGGAGAUAUAGAACCACAGCCUCCAGAAAAGACUAUUUUGUUUUGAUGCUUUCAUCUAUUUUACGCUUUUAUUUAGUAUGUGCAUACAACAUUUACAUCUUUUGUAAUAUUUUGGUUCCUGUUUUUCCUUUCUCCCAAGUAACAAAUUUCCAUUGUUUUUAGCCAAAUUAAAAAUCAAAAUAUAGUAUUUCAGCACAAUCAGAGAAGCAAUUAUCAGUAAUUUAACUAUGUAAUAUGCAUAGUUAUUAAAUGCUCAAGGCGCACUAAGGCGCCA
RNAcentral lists this unclassified non-coding RNA (1948 nucleotides) under Hevea brasiliensis (rubber tree). Lineage: Eukaryota; Viridiplantae; Streptophyta; Magnoliopsida; Malpighiales; Euphorbiaceae. The record is from RNAcentral.